UGCGGCCAGAAACUGCACAGGGCAUAUUUGUUAACUUCAAAGACUUGUACUAUUACAAUGGGAACAAGCUUCCUUUUGCUGCUGCUCAAAUUGGCCAGGCUUUCAGAAGUGAGAUAUAUGAACUGGGUUGGAACUGGGACAAUUUAGAACUUUUAGCACAGGGCAGAAACUUCAUGUUAUGAUAAAUGGCAGUGUAAGUAACAUCUCAUUCAAUGGAAGUCUUAAAGGCAGUGCUAAUAUAACAAUAAAACUUUUUCUAUAAGCCCUGCUAAUUUAAAAUUGUAUU
Humulus lupulus (European hop) is the source of this 286-nucleotide long non-coding RNA. RefSeq lists it as uncharacterized. Lineage: Eukaryota; Viridiplantae; Streptophyta; Magnoliopsida; Rosales; Cannabaceae. The transcript is spliced from 2 exons. The record is from RefSeq and is a predicted model, not a curated record.